CUGCUAUCGGGGUGAGGCUAAGCCAUGCAAGUCGAAGGUCCCCAGCUUCCGGGGGCCUGGCAGACGGCUCAGUAACACGUGGCCAACCUACCCUAGGGAGGUAGAUAACCCCUGGGAAACUAGGGUUAAACUACCAUAGGAGGCGGGAUCUGAAAGACCUGCCUCUGAAAGUGGUGUACAGGGAUGCCUGUACACCAGCCCUAGGAUGGGGCUGCGGCCCAUCACGGUUGUUGGUGGGGUAACGGCCCGCCAAGCCUAUAACGGGUACGGGCCCUGAGAGGGGGAGCCCGGAGAUGGACUCUGAGACAAGAGUCCAGGCCCUACGGGGCGCAGCGGGCGCGAAAACUCCCCAAUACCCGAAAGGGUGAGGGGGUCACCUCGAGUGCCACCCUCGUGGUGGCUUUUGCGGGGUCUAAAAAGCCCCGCGAAUAAGGGGAGGGCAAGACGGGUGUCAGCCGCCGCGGUAAAACCAGC
This 474-nucleotide ribosomal RNA is filed under the name uncultured crenarchaeote. RNAcentral describes it as "bacterial SSU rRNA". It matches the Rfam family "Archaeal small subunit ribosomal RNA", at positions 27 to 480 of the family's 1478-position model. The record is from RNAcentral. Lineage: Archaea; Thermoproteati; Thermoproteota.